RNAcentral lists this transfer RNA (79 nucleotides) under Leptonycteris yerbabuenae (Lesser long-nosed bat). Its description in RNAcentral is "tRNA-Leu". It matches the Rfam family "tRNA". From Rfam's summary of the family: Transfer RNA (tRNA) molecules are approximately 80 nucleotides in length. Their secondary structure includes four short double-helical elements and three loops (D, anti-codon, and T loops). The record is from RNAcentral. Lineage: Eukaryota; Metazoa; Chordata; Mammalia; Chiroptera; Phyllostomidae.
CAGUUAAAGUGGCAGAGACCGGUAAUUGCAUAAAACUUAAACCUUUAUUAUCAGAGGUUCAAAUCCUCUCUUUAACAAA